UUUAUUUCAUGAUUAAUACAAUGUCGACACGCAGGCGGAGAGAUCAUCCUCUCGCCUGUGUGUCAGCACUGUAUUGAACAUGAAAUUAU
Molecule: microRNA precursor, 89 nt
Filed under: Panax ginseng (ginseng)
Lineage: Eukaryota; Viridiplantae; Streptophyta; Magnoliopsida; Apiales; Araliaceae
Description: MIR6143 microRNA precursor family
Rfam family: MIR6143 microRNA precursor family
Source: Rfam by way of RNAcentral